This 1298-nucleotide ribosomal RNA is filed under the name Achromobacter sp. RD4. RNAcentral describes it as "partial 16S ribosomal RNA". It matches the Rfam family "Bacterial small subunit ribosomal RNA", at positions 1 to 1287 of the family's 1533-position model. Lineage: Bacteria; Pseudomonadati; Pseudomonadota; Betaproteobacteria; Burkholderiales; Alcaligenaceae. The record is from RNAcentral.
GCAGUAGCCGUAGAGUUUGAUCCUGGCUCAGAAGUCCUUACAAGGGAACCCUAAAAUUUUAUCCUGGGUCCCAAAUUCUAAACAGGGAACCCUAAAAUUUUGUUCCAGGCUCCCAAUUAAAAACAGGUAACCCUUAAACUUUCUACCGGGGAAAGCAGGGGAUCGCAAGACCUUGCACUAUUAGAGCGGCCGAUAUCGGAUUAGCUAGUUGGUGGGGUAACGGCUCACCAAGGCGACGAUCCGUAGCUGGUUUGAGAGGACGACCAGCCACACUGGGACUGAGACACGGCCCAGACUCCUACGGGAGGCAGCAGUGGGGAAUUUUGGACAAUGGGGGAAACCCUGAUCCAGCCAUCCCGCGUGUGCGAUGAAGGCCUUCGGGUUGUAAAGCACUUUUGGCAGGAAAGAAACGUUCCGGGUUAAUACCCCGGGAAACUGACGGUACCUGCAGAAUAAGCACCGGCUAACUACGUGCCAGCAGCCGCGGUAAUACGUAGGGUGCAAGCGUUAAUCGGAAUUACUGGGCGUAAAGCGUGCGCAGGCGGUUCGGAAAGAAAGAUGUGAAAUCCCAGAGCUUAACUUUGGAACUGCAUUUUUAACUACCGAGCUAGAGUGUGUCAGAGGGAGGUGGAAUUCCGCGUGUAGCAGUGAAAUGCGUAGAUAUGCGGAGGAACACCGAUGGCGAAGGCAGCCUCCUGGGAUAACACUGACGCUCAUGCACGAAAGCGUGGGGAGCAAACAGGAUUAGAUACCCUGGUAGUCCACGCCCUAAACGAUGUCAACUAGCUGUUGGGGGCCUUCGGGCCUUGGUAGCGCAGCUAACGCGUGAAGUUGACCGCCUGGGGAGUACGGUCGCAAGAUUAAAACUCAAAGGAUUGACGGGGACCCGCACAAGCGGUGGAUGAUGUGGAAUAAUUCGAUGCAACGCGAAAAACCUUACCUACCCUUGACAUGUCUGGAAUGCCGAAGAGAUUUGGUAAGUGCUCCCAAGAGAACCGGGAACCCGGGUGCUGCAUGGCUGUUCGUCAGCUCGUGUCAUUGAAAUGUAGGUUAAUGUCCCGCCAUCGGGCGCCACCCCUUGGUCAUAGUUGCUAGCGAACGGGCACUUCUACUGGACUGCCCGGGUGACCAUCCGGAAGGGAAAGGGUGGGGGAAUGACCGUCAAGUCCUCUCUAGUGCCCAUAUAGGGGGUGUAGGGCUUUCCCACAGCUUUCUAUCACAGGUCACGGAACCGAGAGGUUCGCAACGCUGCGAGGGGGGACUACUUAUUUGCCUCAGCAAAAAGUACCUCGAAAAUG